This 29-nucleotide non-coding RNA is filed under the name Homo sapiens (human). Lineage: Eukaryota; Metazoa; Chordata; Mammalia; Primates; Hominidae. The record is from RNAcentral.
UGGGAUGGUACCAUUGGAUUGGCCUCCAU